This 484-nucleotide ribosomal RNA is filed under the name uncultured bacterium. Its description in RNAcentral is "partial 16S ribosomal RNA". It matches the Rfam family "Bacterial small subunit ribosomal RNA", at positions 29 to 507 of the family's 1533-position model. The record is from RNAcentral.
AGUGAACGCUGGCGGCAGGCCUAACACAUGCAAGUCGAGCGGCAGCGCGGGGGCAACCCUGGCGGCGAGCGGCGGACGGGUGAGGAAUUCGUCGGAAUCUGCCUUUUUGUGGGGGAUAACGUAGGGAAACUUACGCUAAUACCGCAUACGUCCUACGGGAGAAAGUGGGGGACCGCAAGGCCUCACGCAGAAAGAUGAGCCGACGACCGAUUAGCUAGUUGGUGGGGUAAAGGCCCACCAAGGCGACGAUCGGUAGCUGGUCUGAGAGGAUGAUCAGCCACACUGGGACUGAGACACGGCCCAGACUCCUACGGGAGGCAGCAGUGGGGAAUAUUGGACAAUGGGCGCAAGCCUGAUCCAGCCAUACCGCGUGUGUGAAGAAGGCCUUCGGGUUGUAAAGCACUUUUGUCCGGAAAGAAAUCCCUGGAGCUAAUACCUUCGGGGGAUGACGGUACCGGAAGAAUAAGCACCGGCUAACUUCGUG